GUGUUGUCGUCAGCUCGUGUCGUGAGAUGUUGGGUUUAAGUCCCGUAACGAGCGCAACCCUUGUCCUUAGUUACCAGCACGUUAAGGUGGGCACUCUAAGGAGACUGCCGGUGACAAACCGGAGGAAGGUGGGGAUGACGUCAAGUCAUCAUGGCCCUUACGGCCUGGGCUACACACGUGCUACAAUGGUCGGUACAAAGGGUUGCCAAGCCGCGAGGUGGAGCUAAUCCCAUAAAACCGAUCGUAGUCCGGAUCGCAGUCUGCAACUCGACUGCGUGAAGUCGGAAUCGCUAGUAAUCGUGAAUCAGAAUGUCACGGUGAAUACGUUCCCGGGCCUU
Molecule: ribosomal RNA, 338 nt
Filed under: uncultured Pseudomonas sp.
Lineage: Bacteria; Pseudomonadati; Pseudomonadota; Gammaproteobacteria; Pseudomonadales; Pseudomonadaceae
Description: bacterial SSU rRNA
Rfam family: Bacterial small subunit ribosomal RNA
Source: RNAcentral